GAAAGAUCUCAAUAACUUUCUUCGCGUGUCUUUUGUUGACGAAGAGUUGGAUAAAAUUCAUUCAACAGAUUUAUCUCCACGAGCCUCUUCUGAAAAUGAGGAUAGGAGAACUGCUAUUUAUAAAAGGAUUCUCUCUACUCUUCAAAAUGGAAUAGUUAUUGACAAGAAAAAGUUUGAGUUCCUUGCCUUUUCGUCUAGUCAGUUGCGGGAAAAUUCAUGCUGGAUGUUUGCUUCAAGAUAUGGUCUGACUGCUGCAGAUAUAAGGGAAUGGAUGGGCAACUUCCGUCAGAUACGAAAUGUGGCUAAAUAUGCUGCUAGACUGGGUCAGUCCUUCGGCUCAUCCACUGAAACCCUGAGUGUUAGUCGAGAUGAAAUUGAAAUUAUUCCUGACAUAGAGAUUGGAAGGGGCAGAACUACAUAUACGUUCUCUGAUGGAAUUGGGAAAAUAUCUGCCGAAUUUGCUAGGAGGGUGGCCUUGAAAUGUCGCUGUAAAGGUUUCACGCCAUCUGCAUUUCAAAUUAGAUAUGGUGGGUAUAAAGGUGUCGUGGCAGUUGAUCCAACUUCUUCAAAAAAAUUAUCAUUGAGAAAGAGCAUGUGCAAGUAUGAGUCUGAAAAUACAAAACUGGAUGUUUUAGCGUAUAGCAAGUAUCAGCCUUGUUUUCUGAAUCGGCAACUGAUUACUCUUCUGUCUACCCUUGGUGUUCCAGAUUAUAUUUUUGAGAAAAAACAAAGAGAGGCUGUUGAUCAACUUAAUGCUAUGUUAACAGAUCCAUUAAGGGCACAGGAGGCACUGGAUUUGAUGUCCCCAGGAGAGAUUGCUAACAUUCUGAAGGAAAUGCUUUUGUGUGGUUAUAAGCCCGAUGCAGAACCAUUCCUUUCAAUGAUGCUCCAAACAUUCCGGGCAUCAAAAUUGCUUGAUUUGCGGAUGAAAACUAGGAUUUUUCUUCCAAAUGGAAGAUCUAUGAUGGGAUGUCUAGAUGAGACUAGAACUUUGGAAUACGGACAGGUAUUCGUGCAAUUUUCUGGUACUAGACAUAUGCGGCUAUAUGAUACUUCCAACAUGUUUGGAGGUAGUGGAUCUGACCAGCAUUUUGUGAUUGAGGGAAAGGUGGUUGUAGCUAAGAACCCAUGCUUGCACCCUGGUGAUGUUCGUGUCUUAAGCGCUGUGAAUGUGCCCGCUUUGUACCAUAUGGUGGAUUGUGUUGUUUUUCCACAGAAAGGACAAAGACCUCAUCCAAAUGAAUGUUCUGGAAGUGAUUUGGAUGGAGAUAUCUACUUUGUCUGUUGGGAUACGGGUUUAAUCCCACAUAAGCAAAUUGCACCAAUGGACUAUACGCCAGAGCCAACUAUGCAGCUGGAUCAUGAUGUUACGAUUGAGGAAGUUGAGGAGUAUUUCACCAACUACAUUGUAAAUGACAGUUUGGGAAUAAUCUCUAAUGCUCACACUGUCUUUGCUGAUAGGGAACAUUACAAAGCAAUGAGUGCUCCAUGCAUAGAACUUGCACGUAAAUUUUCAAUUGCAGUUGAUUUUCCAAAAACUGGAGUACCAGCUGUAAUACCUCCACAUCUACAUGUCAAAGAAUAUCCUGAUUUUAUGGAAAAGCCUGACAAGCCCACCUAUGAAUCUCAGAAUGUGAUUGGCAAGCUUUUUC
RNAcentral lists this unclassified non-coding RNA (1652 nucleotides) under Hevea brasiliensis (rubber tree). Lineage: Eukaryota; Viridiplantae; Streptophyta; Magnoliopsida; Malpighiales; Euphorbiaceae. The record is from RNAcentral.